Molecule: ribosomal RNA, 875 nt
Filed under: uncultured bacterium
Lineage: Bacteria
Description: bacterial SSU rRNA
Rfam family: Bacterial small subunit ribosomal RNA
Source: RNAcentral
AGAGUUUGAUCAUGGCUCAGAAUCAACGCUGGCGGCGCGCUUAACACACGCAAGUCGAACGAGAAAGGGGAGCAAUCCCUGAGUACAGUGGCGUACGGGUGAGUAACACGUGGAUGACCUACCCUCUGGUGGGGAAUAACCCUGGGAAACCGGGGCUAAUACCGCAUAAGUCCGGGAGGAGAAAGGCGCAAGUCGCCGGAGGAGGGGUCCGCGGCCGAUUAGCUUGUUGGUGGGGUAACGGCCUACCAAGGCGAAGAUCGGUAGCCGGCCUGAGAGGGCACACGGCCACACUGGCACUGAAACACGGGCCAGACUCCUACGGGAGGCAGCAGUGGGGAAUCUUGCACAAUGGGGGAAACCCUGAUGCAGCGACGCCGCGUGAGCGAUGAAGCCCUUCGGGGUGUAAAGCUCUUUCGACGGGAACGAUAAUGACGGUACCCGGAGAAGAAGCUGCGGCUAACUACGAGCCAGCAGCCGCGGUAAUACGUAGGCAGCGAGCGUUGUUCGGAGUUACUGGGCGUAAAGAGUAUGUAGGCGGUUGCGCAAGUUUGGUGUGAAAUCUCCCGGCUUAACCGGGAGGGUGCGCCGAAAACUGCGCGGCUAGAGUGCGGGAGAGGAGAGCGGAAUUCCUGGUGUAGCGGUGAAAUGCGUAGAUAUCAGGAGGAACACCGGCGGUGUAGACGGCUCUCUGGACCGCGACUGACGCUGAGAUACGAAAGCGUGGGGAGCAAACAGGAUUAGAUACCCUGGUAGUCCACGCCCUAAACGAUGCAGACUUGGUGUGGGCAGUUCAUUCUGUCCGUGCCGGAGCUAACGCGUUAAGUCUGCCGCCUGGGGAGUACGGUCGCAAGGCUGAAACUCAAAUGAAUUGACGG